Molecule: ribosomal RNA, 208 nt
Filed under: uncultured bacterium
Lineage: Bacteria
Description: partial 16S ribosomal RNA
Rfam family: Bacterial small subunit ribosomal RNA
Source: RNAcentral
CACGUAGGGGGCGAGCGUUGUCCGGAUUUAUUGGGCGUAAAGAGCUCGUAGGCGGUUAGACAAGUCGGGUGUGAAAGCUCGAGGCUCAACCUCGAGACGCCACUCGAUACUGUUUUGACUGGAGUCCGGUAGAGGAGUGCGGAAUUCCUGGUGUAGCGGUGAAAUGCGUAGAUAUUGGGGAGGAACACCAGUGGCGAAGGCGGCUCAC